AGUGAACGCUGGCGGUAGGCCUAACACAUGCAAGUCGAACGGCAGCACAGUAAGAGCUUGCUCUUACGGGUGGCGAGUGGCGGACGGGUGAGGAAUACAUCGGAAUCUACUUUUUCGUGGGGGAUAACGUAGGGAAACUUACGCUAAUACCGCAUACGACCUACGGGUGAAAGAAGGGGAUCUUCGGACCUUGCGCGACUGAAUGAGCCGAUGUCGGAUUAGCUAGUUGGCGGGGUAAAGGCCCACCAAGGCGACGAUCCGUAGCUGGUCUGAGAGGAUGAUCAGCCACACUGGAACUGAGACACGGUCCAGACUCCUACGGGAGGAAGCAGUGGGGAAUAUUGGACAAUGGGGGCAAGCCUGAUCCAGCCAUACCGCGUGGGUGAAGAAGGCCUUCGGGUUGUAAAGCCCUUUUGUUGGGAGAGAAAAGCAGCAGGUUAAUACCCCACUGUUCUGACGGUACCCAAAGAAUAAGCACCGGCUAACUUCGUG
Molecule: ribosomal RNA, 492 nt
Filed under: uncultured bacterium
Lineage: Bacteria
Description: partial 16S ribosomal RNA
Rfam family: Bacterial small subunit ribosomal RNA
Source: RNAcentral